AUUAGGAUUUGGAUUAGGGUUUGGCUUGGGUUCAUUUUAGGGUUUGGAUUAGGGUUUGGAUUAGGGUUUGGAUUAGGGUUUAGGAUUUGGUUAGGAUUUGAUUUAGGAUUUGGAUUAGGAUUUGGUUUAGGAUUUAGGAUUUGCAUUAGAGUUUAGGGUUGGAUUAGGGUUUGGAUUAGGAUUUGGAUUAGGAUUUAGGAUUUGGUUAGGAUUUGAUUUAGGGUUUGGAUUAGAGUUUGAUUUAAGGUUUAGUUUAGGGUUUAGAAUUUAGAUUAGAGUUUAGGAUUGGAUUAAGAUUUGGAUUAGGAUAUGGAUUAGGGUUUAGAGUUUGGUUAGGGUUUGAUUUAGGGUUUGGUUUAGGGUUUAGGGUUGGAUUAGAAUUUAGUUUAGGGUUUGAUUUAGGAUUUGGUUUAGGGUUUAGGAUUUGGAAUUGGGUUUAAUUUAAGAUUUGUUUAGGAUUUGACUUAGGGUUUAGGAAUUAUUAGGGUUUAAGAUUUAAUUAGGUUUGGUCUAAAGUUGAGUGAAAUUCAAUAGGAUUUUAACUAGAAUUAAAUUAAGGUUGAAUUGACAUAUAUUUGAGUAAAAUUUGUGAUCAUUCUAAUAUUUCUUUAAGAAUUUUAUUGUUUGUUUGAAAUUUCUUUGAGUUGUUUUGAAUUGGAUUACGUUUGUUUACCAUUAUUAUAAUCUAAUUAGAGCAUUGUUAGUAUUCUAUUUAGGAUUUUGUUAUCGCAAUUUCUAUUCUUCUUUCUACAACCAGGUGCUCGGAGCAUUCUCAAGCAAGACUUCACACAUUACGACAUAUUUGGUGAAUCUGACGUGAAACGCUUAAGGUAGAAGGAAUUUAUUAUUAUUUUUUUUUAUUUAUUUGAAUUUUGGAGAAGGAAUUAAAGGAGAAUGGAAGGAGGCAAUUUGGAUAGUGCUUCAAGUGGAGUUGGAAGAAGAGCUUCAUUUGGAGGACAAGGUAUGCAUUUUGAUCCUAACUCCAUAAGCAUAUUUAAAGCUUUGACCUUAUUCAUACAACAACAAGAGCAAGAGGUUAAAGAUCGUAAAGAGAGUAUGGCUAACAAAGCAUUACAAGCGGUCGUGGACAAGAUCGAUCAAUUUGAAGAAAAGGAUAUUACAAAAUAUUUAAGAUGUUAUGUAAAGGAAAUGAAAUUGAAGCGUAUUUCAGAAAGUGAGAUGGUUCAAUUAUUUGAAUUAGCCUCUACACGAGAGAUAAAAAAUCAAGUUAAGUUUCUUAUUCAACACUUUGGAGGUUCAUGGGAGAAAUUUUUUCAAGCUUUGAAGGAUGAGUUUUUCUUAGAAGAUAGUGAUAGGGUUACAAAAAGGUCUUUUUUUGAAUGGAUUGAAAAGCCAAAGAAGGAUCUUCUAGCAAUAGAAUUAUUAAGGGAGUUUGAAAAGCAAUAUUCUUCUUUAUCAAAGAAAGAAAGACAGUUAUUGGAUCCAAGUAAGGUGGAGUUCUUUCUUCAAGUAGCUGAUGGAAAGUUGCAAGAGAAGUUGGAAUUCAUGCUUGAAGAUAAAAAAGAAGAUGAAGGAUUGACAACAAAUUGAGAAAGGAUAGAGGAUGCUAUAAGGACGAUGACAAAAAGAGAAAAGAGAAAAGAUAUGGGGGGUGAUCAAAGACCAUUACAGCCAUCUAAGAUAAAAGUGUCUAGUAUCCAUCCGACAUCUUUAAUUCAAUCUUCAAUGGCUACAUCAAAGAAAGAAGAAACAGGAAUUGAUGAAAUCAUACGUGGAAUGAGAGAUUUAAAAAUAAAAUUUAUAAAACUUGAAGAGAAAGGUCAAUCAUCAAGAAUAUCAACAAAACAAAGACCAAAGCCAAUGGAGGGUGUAGUACAUAGAUGCAUGUGGUGUGACAGCAUAGAUCACUCGAGGAGGGAAUGCGAAGAAUUUACAGAGGCAUUAUGUAAAAGAGUUAUUUUUUUUAAAGAUGGUAUGAUACACUCAAAAGAAAAAGGAGAAAAAUUGAAAAUAAAUUUUGGUAAAGGAGGAAUGAAGUUAUUUAUUGGAGAUACUUUUAAAGUGCAGAUAAUCUCAAGCAAUGAAGCAUCAACAUAUUGGGUGGAAGCAGAUCCUAGUAGAUGUUUAAGUAUAAACCUUGAGUUUCCAAUAGAAUCUAGUUCUUUGUGGACAAGUGCAAUGAAGUAUACUGAAAGGGUAAAUUUUAUAAGCGAUGAUUUGAAAUGGAUUGGUAAUAACAUUCGAUAAAUUACUGAGUCGAAUGAUCCAGUAGAUAGACUAUCUGUACAUGCUCAUAUUGCAAGGAGUCAACAUGAAGCAUUAAUAGAAGAAAAACGAAGGAGAGAUGAAAAUAAUGAAGGGCCCUCAAAAAGAAUUACGAGGGGAGAAAAAGCACGACAACAAAAGAAUUCUAUACAUGAAGAGACAAUGGAGAGCAUUUCUACAUAAGAGAGGGAAAUUAGAAAAGAAAAAGCAAAGGCUCUUGCUUAUAAAUUACAAUCAGAUAUUGAAGCAGCUACAGAUUUGAAGAAGGUAUUGGAGGAGCGGAUUUUAAGUGGAAAGGUUGAAUUCACAAUUGGUGAAAUUCUAGGAAUUACAAAGCGUGAGUUUCAUGAAGUUAUUAUUGAUACAAUAAAGAGAAAACGACAAUCUAUAGGAGACUCUAUGACAUCAAAUGCACAAGGAACAAGAGCAAUGGAAAGAAAUAAAGAUGAAGAAGAUGAAAUACAAAAUUUUAGAGAUGUCUUGCGAGUAAGGUUUGCAGAAAAAGAAGAUGUCAUUCAAGCUUCUAGCCAUUAUUCUAGAAGUCAUUAGGCAAGAGCUACAACGGAGUCUUUAAUAAAAUUGGAAAAUUUAGAAGAACCAGUUGUAGCAUUAAUUAAUCAUGGUUCUAAAAUCAAUUUAAUGUCAAAGAAAUUAUAUAAUAUGGAAAAAUGGCCUAUUGAUACUGAAUAUGGGUGGAUGAUAAGAGCUGCAAAUAAUUCAAAGGGAGAUUUGUAUGGAGCAUGUCCAAAUAUCAAAGUGAUAAUUAGAGAUGUUAUUCAUGAAUAAAAUUUCUUUGUGCAAGAUAUGUCUACAUAUCCUAUUAUAUUGGGACAACCAUAUAUUAUUUCCACACGAAUGGAAACAAAAGUAAUGGAUGAUGGUUCAGCUUAUGCAAGAAUAAGAAGCCAAGAUGGGAUGAAAGCAAUUCAAUUUUUAACUGUUUGUGCUAAUCAUGAGAGAAAUCGUGAUAAGUUGAGAGAGAAACCAAUAUCAAAUGAGAAAUUUGAAGAUCUUGAGGAUUUUUACCACACACCAUUAUAAGGCGGGGUUGCAAUGGAUUAGAGAAAGAAAUGCUCCUGCUUAAUUUAGAAAAAGAAUUGUUAUCUACCAAACUUAUUGGAAUGAUACAAGAUUGUGUAUUGACUUUUAAGACUAUUGACAAAAUAGAAAAGAGGGACAGAUGUUAUAUUAAAAAUAUAGAAAAAAAUUUGAAAAAAAAUGGAGAAUUGGUUGAAAAUGAAUUUAUUUCAGGAACAUAUGAAGAAGUAGGUUUUGCAGAUACUAUGGGGGAAUUAAAUUAUCUAUUACAAUGUCGGUUACAAGUAGAAAAUAGAGUUAUUAAUGUGUGUUCUAAAGAAUUUUAUGAUGAAAUACAAGGAUUUAAAGAAAAUUUAAGUCGCCAAGAGGUAUAUAUUGAAAUUAAGUAUAAAUCAGUAGCAAAGAAGGUCAAACCAGUGGCUUUGCCACUACCAUGUGAUUGUGAAGAAAUGAUAAGUGGAGCAUCAAUACAACCAAAUCUAAGAGAUCUAAGGAAAAUAGGGCAUAAAUUUACGGAUGUUACAUUAGAUGGAUUAAAUGUUAGAGGUGAUGGAUUUUUGACAAAAUGUGAAGAAAAAUGUUUUAGGGAUAUGCUUUCACAUCAUGGAAAAGCUUUUGUAUUUGAAGCACAUGAAAUUAGAUGUGUUGAUCCAAAUAUUGUAGCACCCAUGGUUAUUUUUACUAUUCCUCAUGAACCAUGGAAUUUGCGACCAAUUCCAGUACCAAGAGCGCAUUUAUCUAAGUUAGUAGAUUUACUCAAUGAAAAGAUUAAAAUAGGAAUUUUGAAACCAUCUAUAGUACCUUAUUCUUAUCGAUGGUUUACAAUGCCAAAGAAAAAUGGAACAAUGAGAUUUAUACAAGGUAUGCAACCCAUAAAUAAAGUGACUAUUAGAAAUAUGGGUUCAAGUCCAAUUGUGGAUGAAUUUACAGAAGCAUUUGCUGGAAGAGCUAUCUACUCAAUGGGUGAUCUUUAUUCAGGUUAGGAUCAAUUCCAAUUGGCAAUACAAAGUAGGGAUUUGACAACUAUGAAGACACCGUUAAGAUUGGUUAGAAUGUGCACAUUACCACAAGAGACUACAAAUUCUGUAGCACAUAUGAUGAAUGGGAUGCAUAAGGUAUUAAGAGAUUAUAUUCUAAGAAUAACAAUGCCUUUCUUGGAUGAUGUACCUAUUAAAGGAUGUGAAGAAGAAAGAAAGGAUGAAACUUUAGAUUCAAAGGGAUGUAAGAGGUUUGUGGCAGAUCAUAUUGAAGAUUGUGAGAAGAUUUUGAAAAGAUUGGAAGAAGUUCAUUUAACCUUAUCGGGGACAAAAUCAAUGUUUGGAAUAAAAGAAAUUUUGGUGGUAGAACACAUAUGUGGUUCAUAUAGACGUAAGCCAACUAUAGAAAAGAUUGAUAUUAUUAAAAAGAUGAAAGAAUGUACAAAUACAACGAAAGUGAGAAGAUUUUUAGGAGCAUGUAUUUUCUAUCAUAUAUGGAUACUUCACUUUGCACAUAUAGCAAAUCCAUUAUAUAAGUUAUUAAGAAAGAAUCAAAAAUUUCAAUGAAAAGAAGAACAACAGAAAGCUAUGGAAAAAUUGAAAGAACUUCUUUCUUCAUCUCCAACUUUGAAGAAAGUAAAUUAUGAAGGUGGAAGGCUAGUGGUAUUAACAGUUGAUGCAAGUCCAAUUGAAAUAGGUUAGGCGGUUGGGCAAGAUGAUGAACAAGAAAAUAGAUAUGUAGUAAGAUUUGGAGCAGAGGUAUUGAAUUCUAGGCAAAGGGCAUAUGCGCAAAUCAAAAGAGAAUUAUGGGGUAUAAUAAUAGCUAUGAAAAAUGAAAAAGAGUACCUGAUUGGAGCAUCAGUAGUUACAGAAACAGAUUGUCUACCUUUGUUAGGCAUGAUUACAAGUUGUUCAACUCCUGAUAUUGCUAUGUUGAGGUGGAUAGCAUAUAUCAAAUCUAUGAAUUCUGAAUUUAAACAUAUUGCAAGGAAAGAAAAUUCAGUUGUAGAUAUGUUAUCGAGAGCAAGGUAUAAUGAUGAAGAAAAGAUGAUUGAUUUAGAAGAUGAUGUGGGUACAAAAUUUUAUACCAAUGCAUUAUCAAAGGAAAAGGGUGUAUAUUUUAAUAUACCAUUAGAAGCAUUUUUAAGAGAUUUAUAUGAAAAUGAAUGGAAAGAUAUUGGAGAGUAUUUGAGCACAUUAAAACGACAAAAAAUUUAGAUAGAUCAAGAAUUUAAGAAAAUUCGUAAGAAAGCCUAUGGAUAUUUUUUACAUGAUAGAUAUUUAUAGAAGCAUCAAAAACAAAGGAUACUAAAGAUAUAUGUCAAUUUCUAUUAGAAGAAGUUAUUUGUCGCUAUGGUUGUAUUGGAAAAAUUAUGGCAGAUAGAGGUGAAUUGGAUGCAAAGGAAGCAUGAGAAUUUCUUAAUAGGAUACAAAUUAAACUUUCUUUAACUGUUAGGGACAUAGUCCUUAGAACCUUCUAGAGACAAGUUUCUAGAACCUUCUAGAGACAAGCUUCUAGAACCUUCUAGAAGCAAGUCUCUGGAACCUUCUAGAAGCUUCUUAGUUAGUAGAAGAUGUUAGGAACAUAGUCCUUAGAACCUUCUAGAGAUAAGUUUCUAGAACAUUCUAGAAGCAAGUCUCAAGAACCUUCUAGAAGCUUCCUAGUUGGUAGAAGUUGCUUGAGAAGCUUCCUAAAUAGGAGUAUAUAUUGGAAUCGAGGCUGAAGAGUUCUUCAGUCUCGACAACACAUCUCUUGGAGCUCUAGCUCACGUCUCUGGUGUUGUUCUUGUAUUUAUCUGAUUAAUCUAGUUCUUGCCAGUUCUUCUUGAACUUCUUGGUAGAUAUCAAGUCUGUAUUCUGUGUCCGUGACAUUUUGUCAAGACUUCACUCACCUCAGAUAUCAAAGCUAGUUUCUUCUUUGUUAGAGUGUGGAUUACCCCUCUGCUUGGAAGUGUACUAGCAUUUUAGAGGUUGCGGAUUACCCUCCUCUAAACUGAUACUUCUUUUGUUACAAUAUUGGAGUCUUAUUCUUCUUGGAGAGAGUGGAUUACCUCUUUUCUUGAAGCUCUUAAGGUAUUUUAGAGGUUGCAGAGUACCUUCCUCUAAACCAAUAUUGUCUUCUUGUAGAAUCAUUCUUGUUCUUCUCUUAGAAUGGUCAGGGGCCAAGACAUUAGUAUGACGGAAAGUUCAGAGUCCAAGUUAGAUGCUAUCUUGAAUGCCCUUGCUAAGUUAUCACAAAGAACUGCAGAGAUUGAAGGAGUCGUGGCAAGGCUUCAUAAUGAUGGAGCAUCUGGGAUGGCACAAUCUAGGUUGCACCAGCCUCAAACUUCUACACUUGGAGAAGCAACUUUACCUCAGGUUCGACAAGCACCGUUGGUUCUACAACAUAAGGAACCCCGAGUUAGCCUUCCGGACAAGUUCGAUUGUACACGUUCCAAGUUUCGAGGAUUCAUCAACCAAAUCAAGUUGAUAACAGUUUUACAGCCCGAACGCUAUCCAACGGAGGAGUCACGUGUUGGGCUUGUUGGAGCCUUAUUUACAGGACAAGCUCUAUCAUGGUUUGUUCCUUUGUUUGAGAAACGAUUGUCCAUACUAAAGAACUUUGAAACCUUUUUGGAGGCAUUUGCGGAAGCAUUUGGUGAACACCACAAGGUUCAAUGGGCUACAACAAAGAUCCGGUCACUACGACAAGGGAUGCGUUCUACAUCAGUCUAUGCAUCGGACUUCAAGCAAUUAGCAUGCGACAUGAAUUGGGACAAAGAAGCAUUGAUGAGUCAAUUCUAUUGGGGUUUAAGGGACGAUGUGAAGGAUUUGCUGUUAACUCUUCCUUAUCCGCAAACACUCAACGAAGCUAUUAGCCAAGCUGUGAAGUGCGAUAACCGCCUAUUCCAACGUCGCCAAGACCAACGUUCAAGACAACAUACGGUUUGCGACACUCCAACUAUGUCAACAAGUAGCGUGAAUUCACAUUCAGUGGUAGAAGACAUGCAAAUUGAUGCGGUACGUGUCAAAUCUCUUACUCUAGAAGAAAAAAAGCGACGUAUGGAGGAAGGUCUAUGCUUGUAUUGCGGUGAAGAAGGCCACAAAGUUGAAAACUGCCCCAAGAAGUAAAAUCGACGUAUUAUUAAGACUAGGGGUGCGUUUAUUCAGGAAAAUGAAGAUGCCCAGCCACAAUAGGAACCGUGCGGUUGGAUAGUGAAAUAUCGCAACAACAACCAAGUUCCUUUCUUUCCGCUCAACCUGCCCUUUAUUUUAUAAUCUCUUUGCUUAUUGGCCCUCAGAAAUUGAGAACCUUAGCAUUAUUAGAUUCAGAAGCAUCUUCUUGUUUCUUAGACGAAGAAUUCGCAAGUUGUCAUAACAUCCCUUUAGUACAAAAAUCCAAACCUGUUCACAUUGAGGUCAUAGAUGGACGACCUUUUUUGUCUGGUAGUGUCACCCAUGAAUCAGAACCUAUAGAAGUGAAGUUUAAGGACCAUAGUAGUCAUAUUAUUUUCAAUAUUAUUAGAACCCCAUCAAAUCUUGUUAUUCUUGGUCUUUCUUGGUUGGAAAAGCAUAAUCCAUCCAUAGAUUGGAAGUUGUGGAAGAUGACCUUUUCCAUAAAACCACCCAAGAGCAAGCGUAGUAGAAAACCCCGAAUAGAGAAAUCCUUAUUCAUUGGAGCAAGAGCGUUUAUAAGAUUGUCUAAGGGAGGCACACCAUUUGUCAUUUAUGCUGCUCCAACUACCGGGGAGAAGAUCUCGACAGCAAGUAUACCAGAGCAAUAUAAGGAUUUUAAAGACGUGUUUCAAAAGAAAAAUGCCGACAUGCUACCGAAACACAGACCAUAUGAUUGCGCCAUAGACUUACAGGAAGGAGUACAACCGCCUUUUGGCCCAAUCUAAAAUCUAUCACAGAUGGAGUUGGUCGAGUUGCGGAAGUACAUCGAUAAGAAUCUAGCCAAGAACUUCAUCCGUCAUUCAAAAUCAUCAGCUGGAGCACCCAUCUUAUUUGUGAAGAAGAAAGAUGGCUCGUUGCGGAUGUGCGUGGACUAUCGAGGCCUCAACAAGGUAACAAAGAAGAAUCGUUACCCAUUACCCUUGAUUUCUAGUCUCUUAGAACAACUUAGACAUGCAAGGAUCUUUAGAAAAAUUGAUCUAAGGGGAGCUUACAACCUCAUUCAAAUCAAGGAAGGAGAUGAGUGGAAGACAGCGUUCCGUACAAGGUAUGGCUAUUUUGAAUAUUAUGUCAUGUCCUUUGGUCUUACCAAUGCUCCAGCGGUCUUUCAAUAUAUGAUGAAUGACAUUUUUUGAGAGUACCUUGACGAUUUUGUUGUCAUCUAUUUGGAUGAUAUUUUGAUAUUCUCCAAAAAUGAGGAAGAGCAUGAAAAACACGUUCGUUUGGUAUUGGAGAAACUACCCGAGCGAGGACUAUAUGCUAAGUUGGAGAAGUGUUUAUUUCAUCAAAUAGAGAUGGAGUUUUUGGGAUUUGUUGUGACUACGAAAGGCUUGAAGAUGGACCCCAAGAAGGUGGAAGCAAUUGUGUCUUGGGAGGUUCCGAAGACGAUUAGAGACGUACAAUGCUUUCUUGAUUUUGCCAACUUCUAUCAAAUCUUUAUCAAGAAUUACUCUCAAUUUGCUGCUCCUCUCACUCGGUUGACAUGCAAGGAUAAGCUGGAAUGGGGACCUCUAGCAGAGAAGGCAUUUCAAAACCUGAAGACCACAUUUACUACAGCUCCAAUCUUGGUACAUCCAGACUUUACAAAGGCCUUUUAUUUAGAAAUUGAUGCUUCGGAUUUUACUUUAGGAGCUGUACUUUCACAAAUGGGAGAAGAUAAGAAGCUCCAUUUGGUUGCAUUCUAUUCUCGAAAGUUCUCUGCUGCUGAAAUCAAUUAUGAGAUCCACGAUAAGGAACUUCUUGCUACAGUGGAUUCUUUUCAAGAAUGGCGUCACUUUCUUAAAGAAGCUGCACAUCCAGUGACCGUAUACACAGAUCACAAGAAUUAUGAGUAUUUCAUAUCGGCUCGAGUUCUAAAUCGAUGUCAAGCUCAGUGGAGUAUGCUGCUAUCAAGAUUUGAUUUUGUUAUUACAUAUCCACCUAGAGAGCAGCAAGGCCUAUCUGAUGCCUUAUCGAGGAGAUCAUAUCUUGUACCAAAGGCUAGAGAAUCAACAAUGCAUGAUAUUGUUGAAGCUAGAGUAAUUUCAGCUUUGCGCUACUAUUAUGCGAAUUGAUGUUGACUUCCUGAAUCAGGUACGUGCCGUAACCAUUGAAGAUUCAAUAGCCAUUGAUAUUAAGCAGCGUGCCAAUGACGACAAGUUCAAGGUGGAGGGAGAUCUUUUAUACUUUGAAGAGCGGUUAUAUAUCCCAAAAGGACCAGCACAACUCCUAGUUCUUCAAUCUCGCCACGAUUUUGUAGCUGCGGGACAUUUUGGAUUCAACAAGACCUUGGAGCUUAUUUCUCGAGAUUUUUGGUGGCUCCAAAUGUAGAAGGAUGUGAAAGAUUUUUUCUUCUCCUGCGACAUCUGUUCAAGAUCCAAGAAUCCUUAGCAUCGCCCUUAUGAACUCCUACAGCCAUUGCCGAUUCCACAUCGACUAUGAUCUUCAAUUUCCAUGGACUUCAUCACGGACCUGCCAUCAUUGAAGUCAUUUGACAGCAUCUUUGUCGUGGUAGAUCGACUCACAAAAAUGGCACACUUUGUUCUUUGCAAGAAGACAUCGUCCAUUGAAGUCACAACAAGGCUCUUUCUCGAUAAUGUGUAUCGAUAUCAUGGACUAUCAGAUAAUAUCGUAUCAGAUCGAGGAACCCAGUUCGUAUCGAAGUUUUGGAGAUCUCUCUUUGAGAUAUUGAAGGUGGAUAUCAAGCUUUCUUCGACUUUUCAUGCUCAAACUGACGGUCAAACGGAAUGGGUGAACCAAGUCUUAGAACAAUACUUACGAUACAGCAUCAACUAUCAGCAAGACGAUUGGACCACAUAUCUGCCGCUAGCCGAGUUUGCACAUAACAACACCCUCUAUGCGUCGACUCAAUACACACCAUUCUUUUCCAACUAUGGGUAUCAUCCAAAGCUUGAUUUAUUGAGUCCAUCAACAAAUAACAAUCCAACAGCUGAAGGAUUUGCGAAACAACUAUUAGAGCUUCAAAAUACAUUGAAGCUUCAAUUACAAUCCGCUCAAGAAUCCUUCAAGGCGUCUGCAGAUAGAUUUCAGAAUCAAGCACCUACUUUCAAAAUUGGAGAUAAAGCAUGGCUUCUUCGACGGAAUAUGAAGACCAAGCGACCAUGUGAUAAGUUGGACUAUCGAAGAUUGGAACCAUUUAUCAUCCAAAAGCAAAUCAAUCCAGUGGCGUACCAUCUGAAAUUACCGGCUUCUAUGAAGGUACAUGCAGUCUUUCAUGUUUCUUUGUUAAAGCCUUAUCGAGAGUCAUCUUUUCUUGAAAGAGUGCAAUGUCCACCACCUAAUAUUGAAAUCGAGAACCACGAGGAAUACGAAGUUAAAAAGGUGCUGGAUUCUCGGCGAAGGUGGGGCAAGUUGGAGUAUCUUGUUCAUUGGUGCGGCUACGACAUAAAUGAGCAAACAUGAGAGCCAGCUGAAAAUCUCACCAAUGCGUCGCAAAAGGUACAGGAAUUUCAUCAACAACGUCCUCAUAAACCUAAGCCGGUUUGACAAUAACAUCUUUCUGAACCUUGCUCACCCAAGAAUAUAAGAAAGGGAGAGAGCACCAUCAAAAUUCGUAGUUGAUGUAGUUAUUUUCUCCAAGAUAAAAUAGAAUUUUUUCAGUAGCCAUAGUUUGGUCUUCUGAUAUGGAUAGCCAAGAGAUAGAUACUACGCUAGUCAGAUUAUUUCAACCAACUAGUUCACGAAGGUGACCCCGAGAUGAAGAACCACCUACACCACGACGACCACGGAGGAUACCAAGUAACCGAUCACUGGUGAUUGUAUUUGAGUCCGAGCCUGCUUACGAUGGUCAACCAGAAGGCAUAUUUGCACGACAAUUUUACAAUGAAGACACGGAAGUUCAUGCUUGGUCAGAAGUUGAAGGAGUGGGCCACUACCGUUGGCUUCAAGGGCCGAUGAACCACUUACCUCGUGAACAACAGUUGGAGUUCAUAGCAGACGUUAUGUGACAGAUCUCCAUUUUCUUGCGUUGGUACUGAUUGACAACAACAUUUCUUCUCAGAGACCUCGAAGCUAAAGGAGGAGGUGAUGUUAGGGACAUAGUCCUUAGAACCUUCUAGAGACAAGCUUCUAGAACCUUCUAGAAGCAAGUCUCUGGAACCUUCUAGAAGCUUCUUAGUUGAUAGAAGAUGUUAGGGACAUAGUCCUUAGAACCUUCUAGAGAUAAGUUUCUAAAACCUUCUAGAAGCAAGUCUCAAGAACCUUCUAGAAGCUUCCUAGUUGGUAGAAGUUGCUUGAGAAGCUUCCUAAAUAGGAGUAUAUAUUGGAAUCGAGACUGAAGAGUUCUUCAGUCUCGACAAUACAUCUCUCGGAGCUCUAGCUCACGUCUCUGGUGUUGUUCUUGUAUUUAUCUGAUUAAUCUAGUUCUUGCCAGUUCUUCUUGAACUUUUUGGUAGAUAUCAAGUCUGUAUUCUGUGUCCGUGACAUUAACAACUGCAUAUAAUCCAGAAGGUAAUGGUAAAAGUGAGCGUGGGCAUUCACCUAUUGUUAAGGCAUUACUAAAGGCAUAUAAUGGAAAAGCACAUGAAUGGCCUAGACUACUACCAUUUGCACUAUGGACAGAUCGUACAACUCAUAGUUCGGUAACAGGUUAUAUGCCUUCUGAAUUAGUAUAUGGUCAAAAACCAGUAAUGCCAAUAGAAGAUGUAGUACCUAUAUGGAGUGUAUUUCCUUAGAAGAAUGAUCUCAACAGAGAAGAACUUUUAGCAUUAUGGAUUCAGCAACUAAAAAGAAGACCCAAAGAUGUUGAAAUAGCAAUAAAAAAAUUGAAAGAAGCAAGGGAAAAGAAUAAAGAAAGAUGUGAUAAAAAACAUCGAUUACGACCCAAGGCUAUAGAAGAUGGUGAUUGGGUAUUAGUUUAUGAUAGUAGCUUAGAUAAUUAACAUAGCACUAUGAAGAAGUUUGCAAAGAGAUGGUUUGGACCUUAUAUUGUCAAAAGGGCACACAACAAUGGAACAUAUUCAUUACAAGAACUUGAUGGUACAGAAUUGAAGGUACCUAUAGUAGGUAAACGAAUCAAGUUAUUUAAACAAACGGAUGAAGGCAUUUGUUUUGAUGAAGAACAUUCUACAUCAACAUAUUCAAGAAUUGUUGGCACAUGCCGGAGGAUGCACAGAUUCAAGGGGGGUGGAUGUCGUGCUGUAACACGAUUAAUAGGUGAAAGAGUGUGGAUAUUAUUAUAAUUUAAGAGAUCUUAGUUCAGAGUAUUAGAAAAAAUUAUCUUAGAAAAAUAGUUAAUAGCCAAAGGGGUAGAAAAAUUAAAAGGUACCAAUGCUGCCUUUUAGAAAGGUGACUUCUACUUAUUUUGUAGUACCAUAAGUAAGGCAAAUCAAAGUAUAUUGGAAAAAUAAAUGAUAUAAGAAUCUUUAGAAGAAAUUUAAGAGUAAAUUCUAGAAAAAAGUUACUUAGAAAAACUAGAUAUUGAUACCCGGAGAGGGCCGGUUAUGAACCAGGGUCGAAAUCAGACCCUAAGGCACAAAACCGAGUCUCGACGACGACUCCGGGACUCAUUGGCAAAUCAGAGAGUGGAGUUUGAGAGAAGAUUGGAUAGGGUUUCUAUGGGCAUUGAUUUUGGGUGAUUUGGAGUUGAUAUGAAUUUUUAAGAGCUUUGCAAAUUGAGGUUUUUUCGGAUGAUUUGGGUUUUAUGAAAUAAAAUAGGGUUUAUGUUUUGAGUGAUUUCGAGAGUUUUGUUGCAGAUCUAUAGGUGAAUGUUUUUGGAUUCAUGGUUAUAGUUGUGUUGAAUACAUGUUGUGAAUUUGAACUUGAUCUAAUGGUUGAACUGAGAGAUAUUGAGGUUUAAGUGAGUCAAGGUCUUAGAAAGUAGAAUUUUAGGUCCAGUGAGGGUUUUUUAGAUUUCAUGCAAUCUACUCGUUGGAUUGGAGUAAAAUUUGUGUGAGAGGAUAUUAGACUUGUUUUCCUAUGUCCAUGAGAAAUUUGAAACCAAUCGAAUGGCGCAAAGAAGAGAAAUUGGCAUUGGAAGGUUGGCAACAAGAUUGGAGAAGGAGGCCGGCUAACACCCGAACACAUUUUUGAGGUUUUCGUCAAUUUGGUAACUCCGAUCCUUUUCAAAUUUUUAUUAUUUUUUUUGAACUUGAUUUUUAAAAAGUUUACAAAUUUUGAAUUGAGAUCAACGGAUUAUUCAUUAGAUAUUGAGGUUUAAAUUUGUCAUAGGAAUUACUAGGAUUUGGAUUAGGGUUUGGCUAGGGUUCGGUUUAGGAUUGGAUUAGGGUUUGGACUAGGAUUUGGAUUAGGGUUUGGCUAGGAUUUGUUUUAGGGUUUGGAUUAGAGUUUGGAUUAGGAUUUGGAUUAGGAUUUGGAUUAGGUUUUAGGGUUUGGAUUAGGUUUUAGGAUUUGGUUAGGGUUUGAUUUAGGAUUUGGAUUAAGAUUUGAUUUAGGGUUUAGGAUUUGCAUUAGAGUUUAGAGUUGGAUUAAAGUUUAGGAUUUGGUUAAGGUUUGAUUUAGGGUUUGGAUUAGAAUUUGAUUUAAGGUUUGGUUUAAGGUUUAGGAUUUGUAUUAGACUUUAAGGUUGGAUUAGGAUAUGGAUUAGGGUUUGGAUUAGGGUUUAAGAUUUGAUUAGGAUUUGAUUUAGGAUUUGGAUUAGGGUUUGGUUAGGAUUUGAUUUAAGGUUUGGUUUAGGAUUUAGGAUUGGAUUAGGAUUUGGUUUAGGAUCUGAUUUAGGAGUUGGUUUAGGAUUUAGGAUUUGGAAUAGGGUUUAAUUUAAGAUUUGUUUAGGAUUUGACUUAGGAUUUAGGAAUUAUUAGGAUUUAAGAUUUAAUUAGGUUUGGUCUAAAGUUGAGUGAAAUUCAAUAGGAUUUUAACUAGAAUUAAAUUAAGGUUGAAUUGACAUAUAUUUGAGUAAAAUUUGUGAUCAUUCUAAUAUUUCUUUAAGAAUUUUAUUGUUUGUUUGAAAUUUCUUUGA
This 14310-nucleotide long non-coding RNA is filed under the name Physcomitrium patens. Its description in RNAcentral is "long non-coding RNA (PPAT_LNC004413)". The record is from RNAcentral. Lineage: Eukaryota; Viridiplantae; Streptophyta; Bryopsida; Funariales; Funariaceae.